UAAAGUGGCGUACGGGUGAGUAACACGUGGAUUAUCUGCCCUGGAGUGGGGAAUAACGCUGGGAAACCGGCGCUAAUACCGCAUAUUCCCGAGAGGGGAAAGCAGCAAUGCGCUCGAGGAGGAGUCCGCGGCCGAUUAGCUAGUUGGCAGGGUAAAAGCCUACCAAGGCAUUGAUCGGUAGCCGGCCUGAGAGGGCACACGGCCACACUGGCACUGAAACACGGGCCAG
RNAcentral lists this ribosomal RNA (229 nucleotides) under uncultured bacterium. RNAcentral describes it as "partial 16S ribosomal RNA". It matches the Rfam family "Bacterial small subunit ribosomal RNA", at positions 91 to 334 of the family's 1533-position model. The record is from RNAcentral.